UACGAAGGGGGCUAGCGUUGCUCGGAAUCACUGGGCGUAAAGCGCACGUAGGCGGAUCUUUAAGUCAGGGGUGAAAUCCCGGGGCUCAACCUCGGAACUGCCUUUGAUACUGGGGAUCUCGAGUCCGGAAGAGGUUGGUGGAACUCCGAGUGUAGAGGUGAAAUUCGUAGAUAUUCGGAAGAACACCAGUGGCGAAGGCGGCCAACUGGUCCGGUACUGACGCUGAGGUGCGAAAGCGUGGGGAGCAAACAGG
RNAcentral lists this ribosomal RNA (253 nucleotides) under uncultured bacterium. Its description in RNAcentral is "partial 16S ribosomal RNA". It matches the Rfam family "Bacterial small subunit ribosomal RNA", at positions 524 to 776 of the family's 1533-position model. The record is from RNAcentral.